GGAUUAGUUUUUCAUUUUCUGGUUAUCCAACUAUUUUUGUAAAAUUUCUUAAAUAUAACCCAUUACAAGACACUUUUCUUUCUGGUUUGGCUCGAAAUUUCACCGAUUCAAAUCUAAAUCUUUAGUACGUAAACCGGUCUACAUUAAAUAAACCAAUCCAUAUACUGUAAUUAAAGUUACACAAGUAAACCGGAUCCAACCUAAGACCAUCUCUAUUGGGGGUAUCUCAUAAGAGUUUCUCAUAAUUAAAAAAAUAAAAAUAAUGAAAAUGAAGGAAAGAGAGUGUAGAAAGUUUCUCACUUGAAAAACUCUGAGAUACUCUUUACAACCCAUUGUGACAAUUCUCAUCUUACUAUUGGUUUAAUUUUUUAACAAAAAUAAUUUUUUUAAUCAAAUAAUCAAAUUAUAAUAUAAUAUUAAAUUUUUUUUGUUCGAAAAAUUUUGUGGGUUUAUCAUGGAUGGAAAUGCCCUAUGCUUUGACCUUACACACAUCCCCGUGAUUGG
This 504-nucleotide small RNA is filed under the name Arabidopsis thaliana (thale cress). RNAcentral describes it as "ATSL151790". The record is from RNAcentral. Lineage: Eukaryota; Viridiplantae; Streptophyta; Magnoliopsida; Brassicales; Brassicaceae.